RNAcentral lists this non-coding RNA (29 nucleotides) under Homo sapiens (human). Lineage: Eukaryota; Metazoa; Chordata; Mammalia; Primates; Hominidae. The record is from RNAcentral.
UGAGAAGGGUACCCAAACACUUGAAUGGU